AGAGUUUGAUUAUGGCUCAGGACGAACGCUGGCGGCGUGCCUAAUACAUGCAAGUAGAACGCUGAAGAGAGGAGCUUGCUCUUCUUGGAUGAGUUGCGAACGGGUGAGUAACGCGUAGGUAACCUGCCUUGUAGCGGGGGAUAACUAUUGGAAACGAUAGCUAAUACCGCAUAACAAUGGAUGACACAUGUCAUUUAUUUGAAAGGGGCAAUUGCUCCACUACAAGAUGGACCUGCGUUGUAUUAGCUAGUAGGUGAGGUAACGGCUCACCUAGGCGACGAUACAUAGCCGACCUGAGAGGGUGAUCGGCCACACUGGGACUGAGACACGGCCCAGACUCCUACGGGAGGCAGCAGUAGGGAAUCUUCGGCAAUGGGGGCAACCCUGACCGAGCAACGCCGCGUGAGUGAAGAAGGUUUUCGGAUCGUAAAGCUCUGUUGUAAGUCAAGAACGAGUGUGAGAGUGGAAAAUUCACACUGUGACGGUAGCUUACCAGAAAGGGACGGCUAACUACGUGCCAGCAGCCGCGGUAAUACGUAGGUGGCGAGCGUUAUCCGGAAUGAUUGGGCGUAAAGGGUGCGUAGGUGGCAGAUCAAGUCUGGAGUAAAAGGUAUGGGCUCAACCCGUACUGGCUCUGGAAACUGAUCAGCUAGAGAACAGAAGAGGACGGCGGAACUCCAUGUGUAGCGGUG
RNAcentral lists this ribosomal RNA (692 nucleotides) under uncultured bacterium. Its description in RNAcentral is "bacterial SSU rRNA". It matches the Rfam family "Bacterial small subunit ribosomal RNA", at positions 8 to 683 of the family's 1533-position model. The record is from RNAcentral.